CGGGGAUCCCAGGUGUGUGACAGGUGUGUCCCAGGUGUGUCAGCUGUCCCCAUGUGUCCCAGGCGUAUCCCCAGCUGUCCCCAGGUGUGACAGGUAUGUCCCCAGGUGUGACAGGUGUGUCCCAGGCGUAUCCCCAGCUGUCCCCAGGUGUGACAGGUGUGUCCCAGGUGUGUCAGGUGUCCCCAGCUGGGCCCAGGUGUGUCCCCAGGUGUGUGACAGGUGUGUCC
This is a long non-coding RNA of Myiozetetes cayanensis, 227 nucleotides long. RefSeq lists it as uncharacterized. Lineage: Eukaryota; Metazoa; Chordata; Aves; Passeriformes; Tyrannidae. The record is from RefSeq and is a predicted model, not a curated record. The transcript is spliced from 3 exons.